GCCUUCGUGGUGUAAUGAUUAGCACACUCGGCGUGUAUUCGAGAGGUCCAGGUUCAAAUCCUGGUGAGAGCA
RNAcentral lists this transfer RNA (72 nucleotides) under Stegodyphus mimosarum. It matches the Rfam family "tRNA". From Rfam's summary of the family: Transfer RNA (tRNA) molecules are approximately 80 nucleotides in length. Their secondary structure includes four short double-helical elements and three loops (D, anti-codon, and T loops). Lineage: Eukaryota; Metazoa; Arthropoda; Arachnida; Araneae; Eresidae. The record is from Rfam by way of RNAcentral.